CAAGGAAUGCGUUCAUCAAAGUUCUGUCUGCAUCCUGCAGGAGACACUCCAUCUUCUUGCCGUUUAUUUGAUGCUAUUGUAAGCCAUUGUGUUCCAGUCAUUGUGAGUGAUCAAAUUGAGCUCCCUUAUGAGGAUGACAUUGAUUACAGCCAAUUCUCAGUUUUCUUCUCUAUAAAUGAGGCAAUUCAACCAGGUUACAUGGUUGAUCAACUCCGCCNNNNNNNNGAUGGAUUAAAAUGUGGAAACAGCUUAAGAACAUCUCCCAUCACUUUGAGUUUCAUUACCCACCAGAAAAGGAAGAUGCAGUAGACAUGCUAUGGAGACAGGUAAAGCACAAGCUUCCUGGGGUUCAGCUUGCUGUACAUAGAAGCCGAAGGUUAAAAAUUCCUGAUUGGUGGCAGAGGCGAAGAUGAUUUUGGACAUUCCUUAAAUGAUCCUGUACAUUCAUGAUAUUUUCAUCUCUCGCAAGCAAUAUUUCUUUUGAGAGAAUAAUCAGAGGCAGUUACAAACACCAUCAUAUCAUCUGGAUUCGUAAUUUGGAUAACAUAUACUCUUCGGCAAUACAUCAACAGAGAUUUUUUUUUUGACAGUGAAGACCUUUGGUCUUGUCUGUGGAAGGCUUAGCAAAUUGUUUUUCUUCUUCUUUCAUUAACACUACAGGAGUCACCGAGUAUGUAAUGAGAGUGUAAUGACACACAGCUGUAAUGUAUUCAUUAGAGUUUAGCAAAG
Molecule: unclassified non-coding RNA, 729 nt
Filed under: Hevea brasiliensis (rubber tree)
Lineage: Eukaryota; Viridiplantae; Streptophyta; Magnoliopsida; Malpighiales; Euphorbiaceae
Source: RNAcentral